Molecule: non-coding RNA, 92 nt
Organism: Cryphonectria parasitica EP155
Lineage: Eukaryota; Fungi; Ascomycota; Sordariomycetes; Diaporthales; Cryphonectriaceae
Source: the annotation of a RefSeq genome assembly
GGUCGAAUGGUGUAGUGGCUUAUCACGUGUCGUUCACAAGUUUAUGUGAGCUCUCUCCGACAAGGUCCCCGGUUCGAUCCCGGGUUCGAUCA